UUCAGACCGUGCCUAUGGCAACGGCUGAACCUUGACAACAACGAUUGCAAGUAUUUAUUUAAGAUAUGUCAGCCAAGGGAAAGCAAGAAAGUAAGAUGUCAGAAGAGAAGCUCUUUUUCCUUGGGAGCUGAGUGUCCCAAGCUGUCUCUUUUUUAGCAGAUGGAAUAAUCGUAUGAUCCAAUCCCCAUGGCAACCGCAGCUG
Long non-coding RNA from Polyodon spathula (Mississippi paddlefish), 202 nucleotides. RefSeq lists it as uncharacterized. The transcript has 3 exons. Lineage: Eukaryota; Metazoa; Chordata; Actinopteri; Acipenseriformes; Polyodontidae. The record is from RefSeq and is a predicted model, not a curated record.